Long non-coding RNA from Passer domesticus (house sparrow), 565 nucleotides. RefSeq lists it as uncharacterized. NCBI's taxonomy places the organism in Eukaryota, Metazoa, Chordata, Aves, Passeriformes, Passeridae. The transcript has 3 exons. The record is from RefSeq and is a predicted model, not a curated record.
CUGCUGACUCUCCUCAGACUUUUAAUCCUUCCCUUUUCCCUCUAGACUGUAGUGCAUGAAAAUGUCUUAGCCCUGUGUCAUUGUCACUUGGGUUGGGCUGUGGAUACUCUACUGGCACCAGGAAGUCCUGGUGCCACUUCCUGUCCUAUUCCUGGACAAGCUCUGAGGGGUCUCAAGAGGUGGAACUCCAGCCACCAGCAUGUCCGAAUGAUUGGCAGCUGGUGACACCAAAGCACCAAUAUUUGGGGGUUUAUCUGUACUUGAUGGUAUUUACCCCCUUUGUCAUACAAGCCAGUUUUUAGGUGGAAGCUGCCAAGCAAAUGCAGUACUGAAGCUUUCAAAAGAGGGAGAUUUUCGAACCUGGAAAACCAAACCAGAAAAAAAGAAAAAAAUCCUCCCUGGAGGAAUUUGAAAAAUGAACCUGAUGCUGAUGUACCUGCAUGGAGAGAUUAUUUUACACUUCUUCUAUCGGAGAUAUUGCAAAGGACUCAGGUAGGAUCAAAAGGUGGAGAUUGUAAAAGGUAGAAGAGCAGCUCAAAGGAAGAUUUUUUUUUUUCUUUUAAGA